GACGAACGCUGGCGGCGUGCUUAACACAUGCAAGUCGAACGGAAAGGCCCUGCUUUUGUGGGGUGCUCGAGUGGCGAACGGGUGAGUAACACGUGAGUAACCUGCCCUUGACUUUGGGAUAACUUCAGGAAACUGGGGCUAAUACCGGAUAGGAGCUCCGGCUGCAGGGGGGGGGUUGGAAAGUUUCGGCGGUUGGGGAUGGACUCGCGGCUUAUCAGCUUGUUGGUGGGGUAGUGGCUUACCAAGGCUUUGACGGGUAGCCGGCCUGAGAGGGUGACCGGCCACAUUGGGACUGAGAUACGGCCCAGACUCCUACGGGAGGCAGCAGUGGGGAAUAUUGCACAAUGGGCGGAAGCCUGAUGCAGCAACGCCGCGUGCGGGAUGACGGCCUUCGGGUUGUAAACCGCUUUCGCCUGUGACGAAGCGUGAGUGACGGUAAUGGGUAAAGAAGCACCGGCUAACUACG
RNAcentral lists this ribosomal RNA (466 nucleotides) under uncultured bacterium. RNAcentral's name for it is "partial 16S ribosomal RNA". It matches the Rfam family "Bacterial small subunit ribosomal RNA", at positions 28 to 505 of the family's 1533-position model. The record is from RNAcentral.